RNAcentral lists this long non-coding RNA (6546 nucleotides) under Sus scrofa (pig). Its description in RNAcentral is "lncRNA (ENSSSCG00055000358.1)". Lineage: Eukaryota; Metazoa; Chordata; Mammalia; Artiodactyla; Suidae. The record is from RNAcentral.
AGUUGGACCGCGCCGCCGGUGUCCGAGGUCCGCGCCGCUGCCGUUACCGCUCGCCGCGGCGCUCACAGCGGUUUUGCAGCGUGCGGCCGAGCUCCUCCAGCGUUGCCUCGGCCUCGGAGCACCCAGGCAGAACAUUUCUGAAAUAUAAAGAUGUUCAUGAGGAGUUUCUCUGAAAUUAGCCCUCCGGCUGCACAAGCGAGCCGCCCCGGGGACUUCUCCAGGCAAGAAUGACAACAGGGCUGUGUCCUCAACCCCUCGAUUCAGUACCUUAGACCAGCAUCAGGGAACCUCCCACAGGGGAGGCCAAUCAGCUGCCCUGCCCCAAAGAAGAGUUUUUAGCAGGAGAGAGAAGAAAGAAGCCACAAAGUGACAAGAGUGACCAGAACUGCGGGCCAGACAGAUUUCAGACUCUGAGGAAGAACCACAUCUUGUCCUUUGUGCUCUUCGCGGCACCUCUGAACAUCGAGGGACAUGGGACGGCUUGGGAACUGGUGACUGUAUGUGGCCGUGGACACCACGCUGAGCGCAGACUGUGGUUCAAGGCGGUGGCGGGUGGCGAUGCGUUACCUGUGAGGUCGCAGCCUGCCUUCCCUGGGCUGGCCGUCAGCCCUUCUCUCCCAAGUCACGCGGGAGGAAGGUGAUUUCGUCCCGACUGCCACCCUGCCCCCCCUACGCCCCCACCCCCACCGGCAGCCAGAUUAGCCCGGAUGUCCGUAAGGUGGCAGAUGCUUAGUCCCGUUGCCUGGGUUCUACCUGAGAGGUACUGCUGGCCGCCAUGCGCUGCACUAACCCUGCAAGUGCCCUUGAACCCUCUGGUCCUUCCUGACCUUCUUAUGCCUUAAGAAGGGGGAGGCAGGGAACAAGCAAGGCGUCAGGAUGUUGGAGAGGCAGCCGGUGUCCUGGUUAAGGAGGGCCAGCUUGGGGGCACCCUCAGCAGGAACCUGGAACUCUUUGAGAGCAAGGUCUAUGUCUGAAACAUCUCUAUUUUCAAGUGCCUCGCUCCAUGCCUGGCACGUAGUAGGUAUUUGCCUGGCACAGAGUAGGUGAGCAGUGCUCCUGUAGUGAGCAGCAACCCAGGAGUGCGAGGAAGUGACUGGGAGAACUGAUGUUAACAACUGGGCUGAAAGGUUCCCCCCCGGGCCGCCCCCCCAGGGGUACACCAUCCUCUUGGUGUAUGUCGGAAUUCUGAGUCAAGCACAAAAUGCAGACACCCCUUGUCUUUUGUUAGCUGCAGACUCUCUCUCUCCCCUGCAAAAAAGGGGACUACUUCUGUCUGUCCAUCCAGGGACUUUUAUGGCCUCGGCGCUCUGAUCUAAAUUUCUUUAAAAGCCAGUGAGUUAGAAAUGUUCAUGGUGGGAUCCUAAGAGCUGGUCCUGGGUUGGGCACUGCCCAGAAGAACUGCAUGUCCUCAGCAUCCAAGGCUGCCUCUGAUCAGCUGUACUUGAGCCUGGUGAAGAUGUGAGCAGAUCGUCGCGCGUUGAGGAGAGAAAGAAAGGGAGGGCCCGGACCAGCCGCCUCGCUGUCUGCUUACCAAAGGCUCACCGCUCCCGAGGUCGUCCCUGGGCAGGAGGCCAGCUGGUCACUGGGUUUGGGGGCUCCUGUCUUGGAAGCUUCUAGCUGGCACGUCCUGGGUCUCCAGCGGACCCUCUCAGAUACUCUUCCCACGACAACCCCGAGACCAAACGAGUCAGACAUGAUUAAAGAGGCAGAGGAGGCUGAGAUGGCUAAUCCAGGGAAGGCUCCUGGGAGAGCAAGGACUGGACGGCUGGGGGCCUCUCAGCGCGGCACUGCUGGGGAGCUGGCACCGGCGGUUCCAGACAAACUGUCCCAAAGGCUUCUGGGAAGUGGCUCCAGCAACUAGAAGGAAAGCUGUAAAGCACUUUAUGGUGUGCGAAGUGACCCCCCCACCCCCACUCCCCACCCUGGAGGACCCCGAGAGAAGCACCACGAGGCUCUUCUGACGGGCGCUGGCGAGCUGGCCAUCCUUGCAGGGGCUCGGCCCCACUCCCGGGGGCGUGAGACUGAGGACGACGGCACUGACCACCGAGCGUUCCGUGCUUCACACGCAGCAUCUCAUUUAAUCCCCCCAUCGAGCCUUGAAACGGGCCGUUUCUAUCCUUACAUUACAAAUGAAGAAACUAAGACAUGGAGAGGCCAAAUAACUUGCCCAAGGUCAUGCAACUAAGAAGUAGGGGAAUAGGAUUCAAAGCCAGGUCUGCCCAACAGCCGGGCUUUUGAAAGUUCUCGUUCUCCCACUGCGGGAUUUUUUGCAUUCCCUGUGCUGGGAUAACCAGCCCAUCUCCUGUCCCCCGUUACAUGGUUUUCUUGAAACAGUUCUGCUUCUCCAGUCUCUCCUGUGGCCCAUUAAAGCCACAAACUGGUUUCUAGGAGAACACGUCGAGUCGGUGCUGAGUGCUUCCCACCCCAUUAAAGCCGUGUUCACGACAAAUGCCCAGCUUCCUACUAGCAGUCACUGGACUUUCUGCUUCGGGAACCUGGGGAGAUCUGUGCUUAGGCUCUCAGUUCUGAAGAUAGGGUAAUAACAGGUGGAGCAAAGCAAGGACAUCUUAUUUCUGUUCCACCCUGACUGGACCUCAAACAGAGUUACCUGAAGAGCUGGAUUUGGCUGGGCUGGUUCAACUGUGGCCUUAGCUCAAGGGUUCUGUCUGCCAGCCAGACUCCCCUCCCGUCCUCCAUGGGGCAUCCACUGAAAGGGGGAUGAAGUAUCCAAACUGGCUUUUUCACUCCUGGGUCUGGCGCCCCGGCGCUCUCCUAGGCGGCGUCUCGGUGGAGCGGCCUCAUCUUACAGUGUUGCCCUGGGCUCCCAGAACCCACUGUCCGUUCCCUUCUCCACUCCUUUCUGCCCCCCACCCCGCAGCCGCUUCUGUGGGGAAGGGUCUCAUUCAGCCCCCGCUGCCAGGUGGCUGUGCUGUAUCUCGUGACCCUGCUCUGCCCCCCCUACACACACACAUACAGGUCACUGGACCAGGAUCUAUAUAGGCUGGCCAACAACUUUUGAAGUCCCCUGGCUCAGAAAUAUAAAGAAAGCCAGUGAGACCAGUCAGAUUCCCCUUUUAGGAAACAUGAACCCCCACAUCAGACCAUACGGGCAGUGUGUGACAAGAGGUGGCGAGAACAGGAAGGAGCCUGGAGGGACUGAUGUGUUGGCCAGAAUUACAGCGAGGAAGAAAGCUGGAGAUUAAAAAAAAAAGCAAAACAAGCUGUGACACAGAAAAAAUGCACUUCUAGCGUCUUUUGGUGAAAAGAUAAAGGAAGGAAUGACCAGAAGGGAGCUGGGACUCUGAAAGGCAGAGAGACAGGCUGGCCCUGGAGCCACCCUGGGGCCCACUAGACCUGCUCUGCCCCAGUGGGUGUCACUGCAGUGAGCUCAUUACUUACUCCCUUUGCUGACUGUUGGCUUAGACGUGAGUGGGCACGUGACUUAGUUCUGCCAACAAAACUUACAGAGAAAUGGCCGGGGAACAUUCUGGGAAGAAGUUUGCUUUCUGAUCAAAAGAGGCAGAGAGACUGAAGAGGCCCAUCCCUUCGUCCUGCUUUGAACAUGGAUGUUUGAGAUGUGAUAGCUGGAGCUGGAGCAGCCAUCUUGAGACCAUGAGGCAAAAAGACCAAGCAAAAAAGCCAAUACACCAAGAUGGGCCAAGCAACAGAUUAAAAAAAGCCUGGGUCCUUGAUGAUAGCGUUGAGCCAUUAUACCUAUCCUGGAAUCACGUACUUCCAGUCUUAAUGAUCUAUCAAUUAAAUGUCUUUUAUUUUCUAAGCAGAUUUCUGCUAUUCGCAGCCUUCAGCUGUGGGCAGAGAAUGCUGGCGGUUGACAAGGACCAGAUUAUGCCUUCUUCGGAUCCACCCUGUAUCAAGCAGUGUGUGGUUCAUGUUGUUUGAACACCAGAAAAUGUGCCUGACCCUUCCCUUAUGAAAUGAGAGGCUGAACUCAGAACUCUAGCCCUUCCUCUCUAAAUUUCUAGUUUUAGAAGACAAAGAGAACCUGGCAUCGUCCUAAUGUACCCUUCAGAUGACAUAUUAUUCCACUACAUACAGAACUUGAGAAAAAUCAAAAGCCCGUUUCCCAUCUCGAAAGAGUCUUCAGCAGUAAAGACGCAUGGCCCGCAGGAGUUCACCCAGUAAAUGGGGCCCCCCCGAACAGAGAUGUGUUGCAAUCACAGCAGAAUUUGCACCCUCCAGCUGCUGGGGGUAAGCCACACACCGUCCUUAUGGAGUCCUGCCCCCGGGCCCAAACGAGGCUCUGUUAUUAUUACUUCAUUCAUUCAGCAGACAUGGACUGAAUACCCCCUGGAAGAAGAAUUUAAGCUUAUAAAAGCAAGGUUAAUAUAAGGAAGCUAAAACAUUAGAGAUUUAAAAAAAAAAAAUCCUCUGAGAUGAUCGGAGAAAAGAAUGAAAGCUUUGGUUGCAGUGGAAGAAGCAAAAUGUUGAAACCCCUACUUAAUGCAAUUAAUGCUUCAGUGUGAUACUUAAUCAACCCCUGAACUCUCCCCACCCCCUAAAGUUUCCCCAUAUGUCACUAAGGAUGCUCUGAAACCCAACAGGGAAGAGAACUGAAGGCUUUUCCUCCUUCUCCCUAAUGAAGGUUUUUCUCCAGAAUGAAUGAGCCUGAUUACUGACUAAAGGCCCUCCUGCGGUCUUUACGCCCAGGGUGCUGCUUUCCUGAGAGUUCUCCAAAGACGAGAGAAGGGGCUCCGCUCUCCCCAGAUGGCGCCACGCGGCUCUGACGCACUGGCUUCUCUCUCGCACGAAUGAUCUGACGUUCAGUGUGCUUCACGCUGCCCCCGACAGCUUUCCACAUUCAUCACAGGUGCCCGCUUCGAGUCCCAAGGAACGUGCUGACAGUCUAAGGCUGGAACUCUGGCUCCAGGCUCUUCCCCACCCAUUCUGCUCGCGGGGCUCCUGGCCGCUCUGAAAUCCCAGAUGUCUAAUUAGCUCUGAGCACAGUCUAAAAGCAUUCGCACAUCCGUUCUGUGCAUAUGGUUUUUCUCCAGUGUGAAUUCUCUGACGUUGAAUGAGCUUUCCUUUCCCGCAGGCGCCCACAUUGACGGCAUUUGUAGCACUUCUGAAUGUGAAUUAGCCGAUGCCAUGUGAGGCGUCAGAAAGCUGACGGAUGCCUCCCUCAAACAAGGACUCUUUCCAAAAUGAAUGUUAGAAUGUUCUGGAGGACGGGAGCCCUGAGAAAAGUCGCCUCCAUUCAUAACAAAGAUGUUCCCUCUAAGAUGCAUAUUGUAAUGUUGAAUAAAUUCUGAAUUCUAAGAUUUGGCCACAACCAUUUCCUCACUUCUUAGAAAAUGUGUGGAGAAUUGCAGAUUUUCCCAUAUGCAUCACGUUCCUGGGGUGGGGCCCCUAAAGGUUCUCGAGGAUCUCGCUGUAUCCACAGACCUGUCUACACUCAAACCUGGUCGGUGUCCCACAGGGACCUUCUCCAGGCAUCCAGCUCUGAGUUCCCACUCAGGCCACAUGGCUGUGCCCAGUCCCAGGUCACAAUAUGAAAUUACAGGAAAUGUACAUUUCAACCACUGUCUCUAUUUUCUUUGAUGUCUUUUUAGGGCUGAACUCAGGGCAUAUGGAGGUUCCCAGGCUAGGGGUCAAAUCAGCUACAGCUGCCGGCCUACGCCACAGCCACAGCAACGCGGGAUCCGAGAAGCGUCUGCAACCUACAGCACAGCACAUGGCGCUGCCAGAUCCUUAACCCACUGAGCUGAGCCAAGGAUCAAACCUGAGUUCUCAUGGACACUAGUUGGGUUCAUUACCACUGAGCCACAACGGGAACUCUUCAACCACUGUCUCUUACAAGAUCAAGUUUCUUGGACUAAGAAUAAAAGAUUUGGGGAGAUCAAUGAUAAGCAUACCUUUGGGCAAAUAUAUAAAGUGAUGGGUGUGACAGAUUGCUGGGUUUUGGUAUUUUCCUUUCUUAACCCAGUUUUCACCACAGUGAGAAGGUAGCCAUUAAAACCGCUCACGUUCUCUGGUGACCGGGAGGGAGCACGUGGGCAGGUGCAAGGAAGCUGUUCCCAGUGUUUCUUGAUCUGGAUGCUGGUCAGAGUGUGUUCAUUUCCCCAUCCUCCCAGGCAGCCCCAGGACAGUUCCAGCAAACGAGGUAGAAGCGGAACUGGGCUUUCAAGGAAACCUGUGACAGGGAGCAGACUCCAGAGCAGGAACCUCUUGCCUUCUCCCUACCUGCCCCACUUCUUUCUGCCGGAUCCUGGUCAUGACGCUGGCUCCUGCCGCAGCCAUCCUGUGAGCACAUGGAGAAGGGUCAAGGGCAGAAGAUGGCACAGCGACCCUGCAGACGGUGCCUGGUCCUGGUGGCCUUGAACUUCUCCCUUCCGGAAUUCUCACUGUUUUUAGUCUAGUGGGGGAGAAAUGAUUCACAUUUGAUGAUGGACGUAAGGCAUUUUUCCCUAUGUUUAUCACCUCUUGUUUUAAUUUCUGUCUUUCCCUACCUUCCUUUGUAAAACAUGUGUACUCAUGGAAUAUGUUAGUACUUUGUGUGUCAAAAAUGUUGCAGAUUAAAAAAAAAAA